Molecule: ribosomal RNA, 274 nt
Filed under: uncultured bacterium
Lineage: Bacteria
Description: partial 16S ribosomal RNA
Rfam family: Bacterial small subunit ribosomal RNA
Source: RNAcentral
AUACGGAGGGGGCAAGCGUUGUUCGGAAUUACUGGGCGUAAAGGGCGCGCAGGCUGUUUUGUUAGUCAGGCGUGAAAUCCCCGGGCUCAACCCGGGAACUGCGUUUGAUACUGCGAAACUAGAGUUCGGGAGAGGGUAGUGGAAUUCCCAGUGUAGAGGUGAAAUUCGUAGAUAUUGGGAAGAACACCAGUGGCGAAGGCGGCUACCUGGACCGAUACUGACGCUGAGGCGCGAAAGCGUGGGGAGCAAACAGGAUUAGAAACCCUAGUAGUCC